Long non-coding RNA from Neltuma alba, 132 nucleotides. RefSeq lists it as uncharacterized. The transcript is spliced from 3 exons. NCBI's taxonomy places the organism in Eukaryota, Viridiplantae, Streptophyta, Magnoliopsida, Fabales, Fabaceae. The record is from RefSeq and is a predicted model, not a curated record.
GAUGGUUCAAGCAGCUACGCUCACCUGGCAUUGUGGGCUGGAGAAGCAGCUGCCUGUGAUCCUUCCACCGUAAGGAGCCAGAGAUUAUCGCUGCUCUGUGAAACCAGCCUCACGCAAAUCGGAAGAGCAAAC